This 2132-nucleotide ribosomal RNA is filed under the name human gut metagenome. RNAcentral's name for it is "bacterial LSU rRNA". It matches the Rfam family "Bacterial large subunit ribosomal RNA", at positions 771 to 2925 of the family's 2925-position model. The record is from RNAcentral.
GGACCGAACCCACGAGCGUUGAAAAGCUCGGGGAUGACUUGUGGAUAGCGGUGAAAUUCCAAUCGAACCCGGAGAUAGCUGGUUCUCCCCGAAAUAGCUUUAGGGCUAGCCUCAAGCGUAGAGAAACGGAGGUAGAGCACUGAAUGUCCUAGGGGGUAUUGCACUUACCGAAGACUAUCAAACUCCGAAUGCCGUUUUCUUUUACUUGGGAGUCAGACUGUGGGUGAUAAGAUUCAUAGUCAAAAGGGCAACAGCCCAGAUCGUCAGCUAAGGUCCCUAAAUGUACGUUAAGUGGUAAAGGAUGUGGGAUUGCACAGACAACCAGGAUGUUGGCUUAGAAGCAGCCACUCAUUUAAAGAGUGCGUAAUAGCUCACUGGUCGAGUGAUCCUGCGCCGAAAAUUUCCGGGGCUAAAACGUACUACCGAAGCUACGGCAUCAUUUAUGAUGGGUAGGGGAGCUUCGUAUGCAGGCUGAAGCAUGACCGUAAGGACAUGUGGACAGUAUACGAGUGAGAAUGUUGGCAUGAGUAGCGAGACGUGGGUGAGAAUCCCACGGGCCGUAAACCCAAGGUUUCCAGGGGAAGGUUCGUCCGCCCUGGGUUAGUCGGGACCUAAGCCGAGGCCGAAAGGCGUAGGUGAUGGACAACAGGUUGAUAUUCCUGUACCGCCAAUAAGCGUUUGAGAGAUGGAGUGACACAGUAGGAUAAGCUAACCGUACUGUUGGUUAUGUACGGCUAAGCAUUGAGGCAGUCUAAAUAGGCAAAUCCGUUUAGACAAUGCUAGGAUGUGAUGGGGAAGCCCUUCGGGGCGAAGUAGCUGAUUUCACACUGUCAAGAAAAGCUUCUAUCGAGUUUAAAGGCGCCCGUACCGUAAACCGACACAGGUGGGUGAGGAGAGUAUCCUAAGGCCAGCGAGAGAACUAUUGUUAAGGAACUCGGCAAAAUGACCCCGUAACUUAGGGAGAAGGGGUGCCUGUCUAUGACAGGCCGCAGAGAAUAGGCCCAAGCGACUGUUUACCAAAAACACAGGUUUCUGCUAAGUCGCAAGACGAUGUAUAGGAGCUGACGCCUGCCCGGUGCUGGAAGGUUAAGGGGAUCUGUUAGAGCAAUCGAAGCAGUGAACUUAAGCCCCAGUAAACGGCGGCCGUAACUAUAACGGUCCUAAGGUAGCGAAAUUCCUUGUCGGGUAAGUUCCGACCCGCACGAAAGGCGUAACGAUUUGGGCACUGUCUCAACAAUAGACUCGGUGAAAUUGUAAUCCCGGUGAAGAUGCCGGGUACCUGCGACAGGACGGAAAGACCCCAUGGAGCUUUACUGUAGCUUGACGUUGGGUCUUGGUACUACAUGUACAGGAUAGGUGGGAGACUAUGAAGCAUGGACGCCAGUCUGUGUGGAGUCAUCCUUGGGAUACCACCCUUGUAGUACUGGGAUCCUAACCAUAGGCCUUGAAUCAGGUCUUGGAACACCGUCAGGUGGGCAGUUUGACUGGGGCGGUCGCCUCCUAAAAAGUAACGGAGGCGCUCAAAGGUUUCCUCAGCACGGUCGGAAAUCGUGCGAAGAGUGUAAAGGCAAAAGGAAGCUUGAUUGCAAGACAUACAGGUCGAGCAAGGACGAAAGUCGGACUUAGUGAUCCGGUGGUACCGCAUGGAAGGGCCAUCGCUCAACGGAUAAAAGCUACCCUGGGGAUAACAGGCUUAUCUCCCCCAAGAGUCCACAUCGACGGGGAGGUUUGGCACCUCGAUGUCGGCUCAUCACAUCCUGGGGCUGUAGUAGGUCCCAAGGGUUGGGCUGUUCGCCCAUUAAAGUGGUACGCGAGCUGGGUUCAGAACGUCGUGAGACAGUUCGGUCCCUAUCCGUCGCAGGCGUAGGAAAUUUGAGAAGACCUGUCCUUAGUACGAGAGGACCGGGAUGGACGUACCUCUGGUGUACCAGUUGUUCUGCCAAGGGCAUGGCUGGGUAGCUAUGUACGGAAUGGAUAAGCGCUGAAAGCAUCUAAGCGCGAAGCCAACUUCAAGAUAAGAUUUCCCACCGUAAGGGUAAGACCCCAGGAAGACUACCUGGUUGAUAGGUCGAAGGUGUAAGUGCAGUAAUGUAUUUAGCUUAUCGAUACUAAUAGGUCGAGGACUUGACCAA